GGGGCAGUAGCUCAGUUGGGAGAGCAUCGGCUUUGCAAGCCGGGGGUCGUGGGUUCGAAUCCCAUCUGCUCCACCA
Molecule: transfer RNA, 76 nt
Filed under: Candidatus Sumerlaeota bacterium
Lineage: Bacteria; Candidatus Sumerlaeota
Description: tRNA-Ala
Rfam family: tRNA
About the family: Transfer RNA (tRNA) molecules are approximately 80 nucleotides in length. Their secondary structure includes four short double-helical elements and three loops (D, anti-codon, and T loops).
Source: RNAcentral